RNAcentral lists this long non-coding RNA (421 nucleotides) under Gallus gallus (chicken). Its description in RNAcentral is "long non-coding RNA NONGGAT001018". Lineage: Eukaryota; Metazoa; Chordata; Aves; Galliformes; Phasianidae. The record is from RNAcentral.
AGGCAACAUUCAUCCCCUCUUCCUUCAGCUUCAGAGGAAGAGCGGUGGUCAUCCUCUCCCUUAUGAUGCUGAGCUGUGUUUCACAGCCAGAAGAGAGACCUCUGCACGUCCCAAGCUGCACAAGCGGGUCCUGGUUGAGAUGGAGAACCAAAGGGCAAGAAAUAGCAAUAACAGCUCCCACGGCAGCUCACGCCCGCCCUAAUUCUCGGCGAGAAGGACGAACGAGAGGCUGAAAACCUCCGCUGCCCAUCAGACUCGCACCGUGCAAGGCCAGGGCACCACUGAUCAUAAGGUUUCUUCAACUGCGCUCCCAGCUUUCUCUUGCUAUUCCAUCUUGCACGGUCGGUAACUGCCUUCUUGGCUUGGCUUUGCUAAUCUGACCACAAGGAAUUGGCAAACUAGUUCGAGAGGAGAAAUCAAA